RNAcentral lists this ribosomal RNA (468 nucleotides) under uncultured bacterium. RNAcentral's name for it is "bacterial SSU rRNA". It matches the Rfam family "Bacterial small subunit ribosomal RNA", at positions 29 to 524 of the family's 1533-position model. The record is from RNAcentral.
AACGAACGCUGGCGGCAGGCUUAACACAUGCAAGUCGAACGCUCGACCUUCGGGUCGGGAGUGGCAGACGGGUGAGUAACGCGUGGGAACGUACCCUUCGGUUCGGAAUAACCCAGGGAAACUUGGGCUAAUACCGGAUACGUCCUGGCCUGGAGACAGGGUGGGAGAAAGGUUUACUGCCGAAGGAUCGGCCCGCGUCGGAUUAGCUAGUUGGUGGGGUAACGGCCCACCAAGGCGACGAUCCGUAGCUGGUCUGAGAGGAUGAUCAGCCACACUGGGACUGAGACACGGCCCAGACUCCUACGGGAGGCAGCAGUGGGGAAUAUUGGACAAUGGGCGAAAGCCUGAUCCAGCCAUGCCGCGUGAGUGAAGAAGGCCUUAGGGUUGUAAAGCUCUUUCAGCGGGGACGAUAAUGACGGUACCCGCAGAAGAAGUCCCGGCUAACUUCGUGCCAGCCGCCGCAGUAAG